RNAcentral lists this ribosomal RNA (253 nucleotides) under uncultured bacterium. RNAcentral's name for it is "partial 16S ribosomal RNA". It matches the Rfam family "Bacterial small subunit ribosomal RNA", at positions 524 to 776 of the family's 1533-position model. The record is from RNAcentral.
UACGAAGGGGGCUAGCGUUGUUCGGAUUUACUGGGCGUAAAGCGCACGUAGGCGGAUCGUUAAGUCGGGGGUGAAAUCCUGGAGCUCAACUCCAGAACUGCCUUCGAUACUGGCGAUCUUGAGUCCGGAAGAGGUGAGUGGAACUCCUAGUGUAGAGGUGGAAUUCGUAGAUAUUAGGAAGAACACCAGUGGCGAAGGCGGGUCUCUGGGCAGUAACUGACGCUGAGGAGCGAAAGCGUGGGGAGCGAACAGG